This 2901-nucleotide ribosomal RNA is filed under the name Klebsiella pneumoniae. Its description in RNAcentral is "23S ribosomal RNA". It matches the Rfam family "Bacterial large subunit ribosomal RNA". The record is from RNAcentral. Lineage: Bacteria; Pseudomonadati; Pseudomonadota; Gammaproteobacteria; Enterobacterales; Enterobacteriaceae.
GGUUAAGCGACUAAGCGUACACGGUGGAUGCCCUGGCAGUCAGAGGCGAUGAAGGACGUGCUAAUCUGCGAAAAGCGUCGGUAAGGUGAUAUGAACCGUUACAGCCGGCGAUGUCCGAAUGGGGAAACCCAGUGCAAUUCGUUGCACUAUCGUUAACUGAAUACAUAGGUUAACGAGGCGAACCGGGGGAACUGAAACAUCUAAGUACCCCGAGGAAAAGAAAUCAACCGAGAUUCCCCCAGUAGCGGCGAGCGAACGGGGAGCAGCCCAGAGUCUGAAUCAGCUUGUGUGUUAGUGGAACGGUCUGGAAAGUCCGACGGUACAGGGUGAUAGUCCCGUACACCAAAAUGCACAGGCUGUGAACUCGAAGAGUAGGGCGGGACACGUGGUAUCCUGUCUGAAUAUGGGGGGACCAUCCUCCAAGGCUAAAUACUCCUGACUGACCGAUAGUGAACCAGUACCGUGAGGGAAAGGCGAAAAGAACCCCGGCGAGGGGAGUGAAAAAGAACCUGAAACCGUGUACGUACAAGCAGUGGGAGCACCUUCGGGUGUGACUGCGUACCUUUUGUAUAAUGGGUCAGCGACUUAUAUUCUGUAGCAAGGUUAACCGUAUAGGGGAGCCGCAGGGAAACCGAGUCUUAACUGGGCGUUAAGUUGCAGGGUAUAGACCCGAAACCCGGUGAUCUAGCCAUGGGCAGGUUGAAGGUUGGGUAACACUAACUGGAGGACCGAACCGACUAAUGUUGAAAAAUUAGCGGAUGACUUGUGGCUGGGGGUGAAAGGCCAAUCAAACCGGGAGAUAGCUGGUUCUCCCCGAAAGCUAUUUAGGUAGCGCCUCGUGAAUUCAUCUUCGGGGGUAGAGCACUGUUUCGGCUAGGGGGUCAUCCCGACUUACCAACCCGAUGCAAACUACGAAUACCGAAGAAUGUUAUCACGGGAGACACACGGCGGGUGCUAACGUCCGUCGUGAAGAGGGAAACAACCCAGACCGCCAGCUAAGGUCCCAAAGUCAUGGUUAAGUGGGAAACGAUGUGGGAAGGCACAGACAGCCAGGAUGUUGGCUUAGAAGCAGCCAUCAUUUAAAGAAAGCGUAAUAGCUCACUGGUCGAGUCGGCCUGCGCGGAAGAUGUAACGGGGCUAAACCAUGCACCGAAGCUGCGGCAGCGACACUAUGUGUUGUUGGGUAGGGGAGCGUUCUGUAAGCCUGCGAAGGUGUGCUGUGAGGCAUGCUGGAGGUAUCAGAAGUGCGAAUGCUGACAUAAGUAACGAUAAAGCGGGUGAAAAGCCCGCUCGCCGGAAGACCAAGGGUUCCUGUCCAACGUUAAUCGGGGCAGGGUGAGUCGACCCCUAAGGCGAGGCCGAAAGGCGUAGUCGAUGGGAAACAGGUUAAUAUUCCUGUACUUGGUGUUACUGCGAAGGGGGGACGGAGAAGGCUAUGUUAGCCGGGCGACGGUUGUCCCGGUUUAAGCAUGUAGGCUGGUUAUCCAGGCAAAUCCGGAUAAUCAAGGCUGAGGUGUGAUGACGAGGCACUACGGUGCUGAAGUAACAAAUGCCCUGCUUCCAGGAAAAGCCUCUAAGCAUCAGGUAACAUCAAAUCGUACCCCAAACCGACACAGGUGGUCAGGUAGAGAAUACCAAGGCGCUUGAGAGAACUCGGGUGAAGGAACUAGGCAAAAUGGUGCCGUAACUUCGGGAGAAGGCACGCUGGUGUGUAGGUGAAGCCCCUGCGGGUGGAGCUGAGACCAGUCGAAGAUACCAGCUGGCUGCAACUGUUUAUUAAAAACACAGCACUGUGCAAACACGAAAGUGGACGUAUACGGUGUGACGCCUGCCCGGUGCCGGAAGGUUAAUUGAUGGGGUUAUCCGUAAGGAGAAGCUCUUGAUCGAAGCCCCGGUAAACGGCGGCCGUAACUAUAACGGUCCUAAGGUAGCGAAAUUCCUUGUCGGGUAAGUUCCGACCUGCACGAAUGGCGUAAUGAUGGCCAGGCUGUCUCCACCCGAGACUCAGUGAAAUUGAACUCGCUGUGAAGAUGCAGUGUACCCGCGGCAAGACGGAAAGACCCCGUGAACCUUUACUAUAGCUUGACACUGAACAUUGAGCCUUGAUGUGUAGGAUAGGUGGGAGGCUUUGAAGCGUGGACGCCAGUCUGCGUGGAGCCAACCUUGAAAUACCACCCUUUAAUGUUUGAUGUUCUAACGUUGGCCCCUGACCGGGGUUGCGGACAGUGUCUGGUGGGUAGUUUGACUGGGGCGGUCUCCUCCCAAAGCGUAACGGAGGAGCACGAAGGUUAGCUAAUCCUGGUCGGACAUCAGGAGGUUAGUGCAAUGGCAUAAGCUAGCUUGACUGCGAGCGUGACGGCGCGAGCAGGUGCGAAAGCAGGUCAUAGUGAUCCGGUGGUUCUGAAUGGAAGGGCCAUCGCUCAACGGAUAAAAGGUACUCCGGGGAUAACAGGCUGAUACCGCCCAAGAGUUCAUAUCGACGGCGGUGUUUGGCACCUCGAUGUCGGCUCAUCACAUCCUGGGGCUGAAGUAGGUCCCAAGGGUAUGGCUGUUCGCCAUUUAAAGUGGUACGCGAGCUGGGUUUAGAACGUCGUGAGACAGUUCGGUCCCUAUCUGCCGUGGGCGCUGGAGAAUUGAGGGGGCUGCUCCUAGUACGAGAGGACCGGAGUGGACGCAUCACUGGUGUUCGGGUUGUCAUGCCAAUGGCACUGCCCGGUAGCUAAAUGCGGAAGAGAUAAGUGCUGAAAGCAUCUAAGCACGAAACUUGCCCCGAGAUGAGUUCUCCCUGAGACUUUAAGUCUCCUGAAGGAACGUUGAAGACGACGACGUUGAUAGGCCGGGUGUGUAAGCGCAGCGAUGCGUUGAGCUAACCGGUACUAAUGAACCGUGAGGCUUAACCUU